CUGUCGAAUCUCACGGCUCCCUCUUCGCCGCCUCUCUCCCAGAGUUCCAGUCGGCGCGAACCUCUUCGUCGCCACCCCUCCCGGCUCCCAGUCGCUCCUCUCACCGGCGACGCCUUCGCAAGGCUGCUGAAGGAGUCGAUUCACCGCUGCCGGAGUCGAUUCGCCGCCAACAGUAGCAGCAGCCAGCAGCAGCCUACAAUUCCCUAAUUUAAGGUCAAAUUUCUUCCCCUUUUUAAAUUUGCUUGUUGAUGAUUUCUUAAUAUGCAUAUUCAAUUUUUGGUCUACUAAAAAUGAAAUUUUAUAAUUACAGAAACUAUUAUAUCGACGACCUCUGUAUUAUUUUUUUAAAAUCUGUGUUGUUACAUGCUAAUUAACGUUUAAUGUAAUCAAAGAUAACUGCCAAAAGUUGUAGCAAUGGAGAGAUGAUUGCAACUUAGUUCUAUGGCAUUACGAUAGACAUAACAAAGCAUUUUUUCCUUUUUAAGUUUUGCUUUCUGUUGGUGAAUGGCGACUGAUUACGUUUAGGAGGUUCAGUGUAACUCAAUUGCUAUUAUUCAAAGUAAUCAAAUUUUGAUAAAUCAUCUCACGAAACUGUUCCAAAUUAUUCAAGUUUUUAUCUAUAUUUGGUUAAGUGCCAAUUCUUACUUAGAUCCGAACUUUUUAAUAAAAAAAUCAUUUGAUGCAUAGUCUAUUGUUUUUAUUUGAUGCAUAGUCUAUUGUUUUUAUUUGAUGCAUAGUCAGAUUAUUUGAUGCCAUUAGAUUAUCUUUGUGUUAUAGGUAAUUAUGUCUAGCAAUGAUGAGUACAAUGAGUACAAUGAUGAAAAUACUUACACGACAUAUACAAGUGAUAUGCCGAGUACUGCUGGUACGUCUGCUGCCCCUGCUGCCCAGCCUGCCCUUGCUGCCACAACUGCAGAAACUGGUUUGGGAACGUCCAAUCCCACAGCUAAGCCCCCAACGAGUACUUGAUCAAUACCGUAGCUCACUUAAAGCAAGCACAGUGGAGGCAAUUAUUUGCACUAGAGAUUGGUUGUUUGGAGAAAAAGGUAUGAGUUUUUUGUGUUAUUAAUGUUAACAAUUUAUAUUAUUGUAUAUAUUUAAUAUUAAUUCAUAUUUUUUUUCGUUCAAAGCCUUCAAAAGCGAAAUACCAACAUCUGAGUUAGCCGAAGACUUUCUACAUGGCGAUGAUGAACCUCAAACCGAAUCUUCUUCGGUCUCCACUAUUGCUGUUGCAUGAAGGCUGUCACUUAGUCUAGUUAUGUUUUGAUUUGUUAAGCUCACUU
RNAcentral lists this long non-coding RNA (1283 nucleotides) under Salvia miltiorrhiza (redroot sage). Its description in RNAcentral is "long non-coding RNA (SMIL_LNC012287)". The record is from RNAcentral. Lineage: Eukaryota; Viridiplantae; Streptophyta; Magnoliopsida; Lamiales; Lamiaceae.